RNAcentral lists this long non-coding RNA (797 nucleotides) under Marmota monax (woodchuck). Lineage: Eukaryota; Metazoa; Chordata; Mammalia; Rodentia; Sciuridae. The record is from RNAcentral.
AUUGAACCCAGUACUUCGCAUGUGCUAGGCGAGCGCUCUACCGCUGAGCCACAACCCCAGCCCUUUUUUUUAAAAAAAAUAUUUUCUAGUUGUAGAUGGACCAAAUGCCUUUACGUUAGUUGUUUAUUAUUAUUUUUAAUGUGGUGCUAAGGAUCGAACCUAGUGCCUCACACAUGCUAGGCAAGUGCUUUCCACUGAGCCCCAGCCCUAGCCUCUCCACUCGACUUCUUUCUGCUGCUUCUGGUUACUGGCCUGCAGGUGGAACACACAUGGGAUUCCCAGCCCUUCACAGCUGGGUGUGAACAACCAGAUGUAAUCACAGUUUAGAAAUUACCAGCACAGAUAUUUUAGAAAAAUUCAGCCUUUUAAUUUUAGGAACUUGGUAUCUUUACGGUGAUUUUGGUUUGGAGACCUUUGAACGCAGUUUUCCUCCUGGAACUCUACUUCUCGGCAUUGCUAUGCCAGUGUGAGCUGGAGACUGAACUUCAUGAAACCUUCCUCAGAAAAUUAGAGAUGGCUGCUGCCCGUGGUCCUGGCCAGCCUCUGCACCACCAGUCAGCAGAGCCCACGUUCAUCAGGGCAGCUGUCCUCUUGCUUGUUUCUGCAUUUGCUUUAAAACAUUAUCCCCUCGGUCUUAGCUUUUCAUGACUUGUACGUCUUCAUUCCUCUCUAGCUUCAUCUUUCCUAUUUAAGUACUUAAAAGAAAGAACUGGGGAUGUAGCUGGCCUAACAGGGGCAGGUACCUGGAUUCCAUCUCUAGCAAAAAAAAGAAAGAAAGAAAAGAAAAAAACAAAAGA